RNAcentral lists this ribosomal RNA (447 nucleotides) under uncultured bacterium. RNAcentral describes it as "bacterial SSU rRNA". It matches the Rfam family "Bacterial small subunit ribosomal RNA", at positions 28 to 457 of the family's 1533-position model. The record is from RNAcentral.
GAUGAACGCUGGCGGCGUGCUUAACACAUGCAAGUCGAGCGAAGCACUUAAGUUUGAUUCUUCGGAUGAAGACUUUUGUGACUGAGCGGCGGACGGGUGAGUAACGCGUGGGUAACCUGCCUCAUACAGGGGGAUAACAGUUAGAAAUGACUGCUAAUACCGCAUAAGACCACAGGGUCGCAUGACCCGGUGGUAAAAACUCCGGUGGUAUGAGAUGGACCCGCGUCUGAUUAGCUAGUUGGUGGGGUAACGGCUCACCAAGGCGACGAUCAGUAGCCGACCUGAGAGGGUGACCGGCCACAUUGGGACUGAGACACGGCCCAAACUCCUACGGGAGGCAGCAGUGGGGAAUAUUGCACAAUGGGCGAAAGCCUGAUGCAGCGACGCCGCGUGAAGGAUGAAGUAUUUCGGUAUGUAAACUUCUAUCAGCAGGGAAGAAAAUGACGG